This is a long non-coding RNA of Metopolophium dirhodum (rose-grain aphid), 1259 nucleotides long. RefSeq lists it as uncharacterized. The transcript has 2 exons. The record is from RefSeq and is a predicted model, not a curated record. Lineage: Eukaryota; Metazoa; Arthropoda; Insecta; Hemiptera; Aphididae.
UCUAACUGACGAAGGUAAAAUUAACUAAUAUCGCGUAAUAGGUAAUCAAAUAAUCGUCUAAAAUCUAUUCAUCAGUCAUAUCGUUUAUAACAUAUUAAUAAUAUAUUAUACCUAUAUGUCACAAUAAUAUAUUUGUUUCGUGAAACAGCCGCUCAACUGCUCAAGUAAAUAUUAAUAACAAUGUCAAUAAUACUAUAUUAUUGCAAGCCUAAUCGUAAUUUUGAAAAUUGUUAAUGUUUAACAAUAUUUUUUAUAUUUUAAUCUAUGGUAGGUAAGAAUAACGAUUAACCGUUGGAUAGACGAAAAAUUUUGAAUAUAAAUUAUAAAUAUUUGUGAGGCCGAGUAACAAUAGAUUGCCAAGUGGUCCGGGUAUAUAGGUACUUAUUAACACGGAAAACUUGAAAUUCUUUAAACACCCCCUCAAAUUCCGUUCUAAUAAGGACAUCUCCAAUACCAUACUGAGGGGUCCUUUAGACUCGUCAAAGCAAACCCUUGAGUACAGCUUCAGAACGGAUAAAUAGACAUAGCUAAAAUAAAAUGCAAUUUACAUUAUCAUAGAAAUUAAAUUUAAACAACUUUUAGUCACUUUCGCUGCGCGAGAUAACUGCUGAAGUGAAUGCAUGGUAAUUUGUUGUACGAUAAAUAAUAAAGUUCCUACUUAAUGCGAAUAGAUAAUAUUUAUGAUACGAAUAUUAUUUAAGGUACCUUGAUACACUGAUACAUCACAAAUUGAUAAAUUAACAACUCCAAUCGUGAAAAAGAAAAAUUCGUCGUGACAGUUUAUCAAAAUCUGUCUACAACAUAUGUGCAUUGGAGCGUUGAUUUGAACACGUGACAAUCGUUGCUAUGCAUAUGACAAUAAAUUCAGAACAUGUUUCUACAUUAUUUUUUAUAGAAGAAUGCAAGAGGUUACUUGAACACACGAGGAAUCUAUGUCACGUCCAGACGUCCUGCAGUCGAUGGAUGUAACUAAGCUAGCUGCCAUAGUUCAUGGCAUCAUUGAAGUACAAUGUAAUAUUGGAAUGUAUAAUAUCUGGGACGUUUGGUACGAAUAAUAAUAUUAUUUACAUUUAAUAGGGUUUUAUAAUAAUGAACUUAUAUUACAUUAUAUUUAAAUCGUACCUAAUCAUCGUACAUAAAACAAUACUGAAUAUCCCCGAUUCUUUUUUUUUCAGUCGUUUCAUUAGUGCGUAAUUUUUAUUAAUCUUAACUUAAAUCAUAAAGAAAAUACAAAUAUAUUAUAAUAAAAUUAUGUAAUA